RNAcentral lists this ribosomal RNA (446 nucleotides) under Arctic sea ice bacterium AWS-7M1. RNAcentral describes it as "bacterial SSU rRNA". It matches the Rfam family "Bacterial small subunit ribosomal RNA", at positions 396 to 834 of the family's 1533-position model. The record is from RNAcentral. Lineage: Bacteria; Pseudomonadati; Pseudomonadota; Gammaproteobacteria.
GCCGCGUGUGUGAAGAAGGCCUUCGGGUUGUAAAGCACUUUCAGUCAGGAGGAAAGGUUAGUAGUUAAUACCUGCUAGCUGUGACGUUACUGACAGAAGAAGCACCGGCUAACUCCGUGCCAGCAGCCGCGGUAAUACGGAGGGUGCGAGCGUUAAUCGGAAUUACUGGGCGUAAAGCGUACGCAGGCGGUUUGUUAAGCGAGAUGUGAAAGCCCCGGGCUCAACCUGGGAACUGCAUUUCGAACUGGCAAACUAGAGUGUGAUAGAGGGUGGUAGAAUUUCAGGUGUAGCGGUGAAAUGCGUAGAGAUCUGAAGGAAUACCGAUGGCGAAGGCAGCCACCUGGGUCAACACUGACGCUCAUGUACGAAAGCGUGGGGAGCAAACGGGAUUAGAUACCCCGGUAGUCCACGCCGUAAACGAUGUCUACUANAAGCUCGGAGCCUCG